Molecule: ribosomal RNA, 1266 nt
Filed under: Triticum aestivum (bread wheat)
Lineage: Eukaryota; Viridiplantae; Streptophyta; Magnoliopsida; Poales; Poaceae
Description: partial small subunit ribosomal RNA
Source: RNAcentral
AUGCCGAGAAUGAAGGUCCCAAAGCGUUAUGUCAUAGUGUUGCUGACAUUCAUCUGCACCAAUGUCUGUUACAUUGAGCGUGUGGGUUUCUCGAUUGCGUACACCGUAGCAGCUGGUGCAAUCAACGUGAAUCAAGCAAACAAGGGCCUGAUACUCUCCAUGUUCUAUUAUGGCUAUGUUCUGUCGCAAAUUCCUGGUGGAUGGGCAGCUCAGAGAUUGGGAGGGAGACAUGUUCUGCUGCUGUCAUUUCUGUUGUGGUCUUUGAUAUGCGGUCUAAUUCCACUGGACCCCAACAGAGUAGUCAUUCUGGUCCUUUCUCGCCUUUUUGUUGGUGUAGCACAAGGUUUCAUAUUUCCUGCCAUUCACAUGUCGUUAACAACCUCAGGGAUGUACCUCGGGGCAGCUUGUGGCAUGCUGUUCUUUCCAAGUCUGGUGAAGCACAUGGGACCCCAAUCUGUAUGUUUAGUCGAAGCAGUACUUGGAGUGGCAUGGUCUGUAAUAUGGUUGAAGUUCUCCAGUGAGCCACCUCGCACUGACCUUCCAAAAGUGGCAAUGCCAAAAGUAGCAUCCCGGGAGAAGAUUAAGGCACAAUCAACAGGGGUUGUUGCACCUCGCACUGUAAAGAUACCAUGGCGAAGGAUUAUCUUCAGUCUACCUGUUUGGGCAAUUGUUGUGAACAACUUCACCUUCCACUAUGCCUUGUAUGUUAUCAUGAACUGGCUGCCUACCUAUUUCGAACUAGCCCUUAAGCUUAGCCUCCAGGAUAUGGGAUCGUCAAAGAUGCUUCCCUAUUUCAACAUGUUUAUAUUCUCCAACAUUGGUGGAGUGGUUGCUGAUCACUUGAUUACAAAGAGGAUCUUAUCAGUUACCAAGACAAGGAAGCUCCUUAACACCAUUGGGUUUGUUGUCUCGGCUGUUGCACUUAUGGCCCUUCCUUCAUUCGGGACGCCCUCAUGGACUGUGAUCUCUUCAUCUGUAUCCCUUGGUUUUCUGGCUCUAGGAAGAGCAGGGUUUGCGGUGAAUCACAUGGAUGUUGCUCCAAAGUUCGCCGGCAUAGUGAUGGGGGUUUCAAAUACAGCUGGGACAUUGGCUGGGAUAGUUGGCGUUGGCCUCACGGGAAAUAUUCUGGAGGCUGCAAAGGCCUCUAACAUGGAUCUGACAAACUCCGAAACCUGGAAAACAAUCUUCUUUGUUCCAGCAUACCUCUGUAUUUUUAGUUCAGUCAUUUUCUUGAUCUUCUCAACUGCUGAGAAGAUUUUCGAAUAG